This 391-nucleotide unclassified non-coding RNA is filed under the name soil metagenome. Its description in RNAcentral is "partial contains 5.8S ribosomal RNA, internal transcribed spacer 2, and large subunit ribosomal RNA". The stretch from base 1 to 122 matches the Rfam family "5.8S ribosomal RNA", at positions 35 to 154 of the family's 154-position model. The record is from RNAcentral.
GAUGAAGAACGUAGCGAAAUGCGAUACUUGGUGUGAAUUGCAGAAUCCCGUGAACCAUCGAGUCUUUGAACGCAAGUUGCGCUCGAAGCCAUUAGGCCGAGGGCACGCCUGCCUGGGCGUCACACGUCGUUGCCCCCCCAUCUACUCCUUCGGGAUUGCGGGGGGCGGAUGAUGGCCUCCCGUGCGCCACGCCGCGCGGUUGGCAUAAAUGCCAAGUCCUCGGCGACGCACGCCACGACAAUCGGUGGUUGCGAAACCUCGGUUGCCCGUCGUGUGCGGUCGUCGCGCAUCGAGGGCUCGAAAAAAUUGCCGGGUUCCGGCUCGGCUUUCAACGCGACCCCAGGUCAGGCGGGGUUACCCGCUGAAUUUAAGCAUAUCAAUAAGCGGAGGA